AUUAGUGGCGACGGGUGAGUACACGUGGGCAAUCUGCCCUUCACUCUGGGACAAGCCCUGGAAACGGGGUCUAAUACCGGAUACGAGUCUGGGAGGCAUCUCCUGGACUGGAAAGCUCCGGCGGUGAAGGAUGAGCCCGCGGCCUAUCAGCUUGUUGGUGGGGUAAUGGCCUACCAAGGCGACGACGGGUAGCCGGCCUGAGAGGGCGACCGGCCACACUGGGACUGAGACACGGCCCAGACUCCUACGGGAGGCAGCAGUGGGGAAUAUUGCACAAUGGGCGAAAGCCUGAUGCAGCGACGCCGCGUGAGGGAUGACGGCCUUCGGGUUGUAAACCUCUUUCAGCAGGGAAGAAGCGAAAGUGACGGUACCUGCAGAAGAAGCGCCGGCUAACUACGUGCCAGCAGCCGCGGUAAUACGUAGGGCGCAAGCGUUGUCCGGAAUUAUUGGGCGUAAAGAGCUCGUAGGCGGCUUGUCACGUCGGGUGUGAAAGCCCGGGGCUUAACCCCGGGUCUGCAUCCGAUACGGGCAGGCUAGAGUGUGGUAGGGGAGAUCGGAAUUCCUGGUGUAGCGGUGAAAUGCGCAGAUAUCAGGAGGAACACCGGUGGCGAAGGCGGAUCUCUGGGCCAUUACUGACGCUGAGGAGCGAAAGCGUGGGGAGCGAACAGGAUUAGAUACCCUGGUAGUCCACGCCGUAAACGUUGGGAACUAGGUGUUGGCGACAUUCCACGUCGUCGGUGCCGCAGCUAACGCAUUAAGUUCCCCGCCUGGGGGAGUACGGCGCAAGCUAAACUCAAAGGAAUUGACGGGGGCCCGCACAGCAGCGGAGCAUGUG
This 835-nucleotide ribosomal RNA is filed under the name Streptomyces sp. RNAcentral describes it as "bacterial SSU rRNA". It matches the Rfam family "Bacterial small subunit ribosomal RNA", at positions 91 to 943 of the family's 1533-position model. Lineage: Bacteria; Bacillati; Actinomycetota; Actinomycetes; Kitasatosporales; Streptomycetaceae. The record is from RNAcentral.